AACGAACGCUGGCGGCAUGCCUAACACAUGCAAGUCGAACGAGACCUUCGGGUCUAGUGGCGCACGGGUGCGUAACGCGUGGAGACCUGCCCUUAGGUUCGGAAUAACUCCCCGAAAGGGGUGCUAAUACCGGAUAAUGUCUUCGGACCAAAGAUUUAUCGCCUUUGGAUGGGCCCGCGUUGGAUUAGCUAGUUGGUAGGGUAAAAGCCUACCAAGGCGACGAUCCAUAGCUGGUCUGAGAGGAUGAUCAGCCACACUGGGACUGAGACACGGCCCAGACUCCUACGGGAGGCAGCAGUGGGGAAUAUUGGACAAUGGGCGAAAGCCUGAUCCAGCAAUGCCGCGUGAGUGAUGAAGGCCUUAGGGUUGUAAAGCUCUUUUACCCGGGAUGAUAAUGACAGUACCGGGAGAAUAAGCUCCGGCUAACUCCGUG
RNAcentral lists this ribosomal RNA (433 nucleotides) under uncultured bacterium. RNAcentral's name for it is "partial 16S ribosomal RNA". It matches the Rfam family "Bacterial small subunit ribosomal RNA", at positions 29 to 507 of the family's 1533-position model. The record is from RNAcentral.